GCCCGGGUGGUGGAAUGGUAGACACGAAGGACUUAAAAUCCUUUGCCGUAAGGCGUGUGGGUUCGACUCCCACCCCGGGUACCA
This 84-nucleotide transfer RNA is filed under the name bacterium ADurb.Bin400. Its description in RNAcentral is "tRNA-Leu". It matches the Rfam family "tRNA". From Rfam's summary of the family: Transfer RNA (tRNA) molecules are approximately 80 nucleotides in length. The record is from RNAcentral.